Molecule: ribosomal RNA, 253 nt
Filed under: uncultured bacterium
Lineage: Bacteria
Description: partial 16S ribosomal RNA
Rfam family: Bacterial small subunit ribosomal RNA
Source: RNAcentral
UACGUAGGGGGCUAGCGUUAUCCGGAUUUACUGGGUGUAAAGGGAGCGUAGGCGGUGCAGCAAGUCAGAAGUGAAAGCCCGGGGCUCAACUCCGGGACUGCUUUUGAAACUGUUGAACUAGAUUGCAGGAGAGGUAAGUGGAAUUCCUAGUGUAGCGGUGAAAUGCGUAGAUAUUAGGAGGAACACCAGUGGCGAAGGCGGCUUACUGGACUGUAAAUGACGCUGAGGCUCGAAAGCGUGGGGAGCAAACAGG